Gallus gallus (chicken) is the source of this 1576-nucleotide long non-coding RNA. The record is from Ensembl. Lineage: Eukaryota; Metazoa; Chordata; Aves; Galliformes; Phasianidae.
CUUGCAGGGGAGCUGGAACAUGAUGAUCCUUGAGGCCUCUUCCCAUCUGUAAGAGAUUAUUCUUUUGCAUCAUUGUUUCAAAGCUUGCUGAGGACACAGAUGGACAAGUCUAGGCAAGUCCUAGUCAAAGUUAGCAAAAUCUUUUGUCUGAAGAUUUUCAGUCCAGGGACAAUGUGAGAGAAAUAAGCCACAGCUUAAAGGCUGGGAACCAGUCUUUUGUGUGGGCUUAUCUUGAGGGAGAUAGCCAUCUCAGGGGGUACUGCACAUGGCUCUUACCGAAGUACCCAGGAAUGCCACAUUGGCAAAAGAAGAAGGAUAAAAAGAGGACCAACAACCAUGAGGUUUCUGACAUCAGAUUCCUCACAGCGUGAUGCCUGCACGCUGAAGAAAAAGGUGUCUGACAUCAGAUGCUUCAUGAUGUGACACCUUGCAUGAUGACAGACUCUCCUGGGCCUGCUACCUAAGACCUGCCACUUCCUCUUGGACUUACCCUGUCCCUGUACCUUCUUGCUGCCUAAGGCCGACCUCUCUGCUGCUGCUCUCAUCCUGCGCUUUUGCCUUGGACCAUUGGAAUGGCAUGCAACAGGACCGCUGCUGGAUCUUGGUGCUUGCUGAGGACACAGAUGAAGAAGCCCAAGCAAAUUCUGGUCAAGGGUUGAGAAAUCCUUCAUCUGGAGAACGCUGAUGGAGAAGUCCUGGGCAAGGGUUGUGAAAUCCUUUGUCUGAGGGACACAGAUGGACAAGGCCAGGGGCAACGAGAGAGAGACAAGCCAGAGUUAAUGGCCAGGAAGCACUCUUGUGUGUAGGCUUAUCUAAAGGUAGAUAGCCAUCUCAUCAUGUGCAGGGGGUACUGCACAUGAUUCUUACCCAAGUGCCCAGGAAUGCCAUGUUUGCAGAAGAAGAAGGAUAAAAAGGGGUCAAACAACCAUGAAGUUGGGGGUUUCUGACAACAGAUUCCUCACAGCAUGAUGCCUGCAUGCUGAAGAAGAAGAGGUGUAUAUCAUCAGAUUCCUCAUGACCUGCCUUCCCCUCCUGGACUUGCUCUGCACUCUACCUGCUUGCUGACUAAGGCCGGCCACUCUGCUCCUGCUCUCCCCUGAGGAGGUUUCUGACAACAGAUUCCUCACAAAGAAGAACAGGGUUUCUGCCAACAGAUUCCUUAUGACCUGAGACCUGCAUGUUGAAGAAGAAAGGUGUCUGAUAUCAGAAGCCUCACGAGCUGAUGCCUGCAUGCUGAUGGACUCUCUCCUGGGCCUGCUACCAGAGACCUGCUGCUUCCUCCUGGACUUACCUUGCUGCUUCUUCCUGGUACCUGCUUGCUGCCUAAGACUGGCCACGCUGCUGCUGCCCUCCCUCUGCACUUUUGCCUUGGACCAUCGGAACGGCAUGCAGCAGGACGCUGUUGGAUCCUGGUGGUACUAUCCCUCCCUGCUUUACACAAUUCUUGCUUCUUUCCUCUCUUUUCUAUCUCCUGCUUUUCCUUCCCCAUCACCCUAAUUUGUAAUAGUGUCCAUCCUCCCCUUCUCCAUCUCCCUGAUUAAGAUUUGUAAUAAACUGGUUGGACCAACAUUUGAAC